This 253-nucleotide ribosomal RNA is filed under the name uncultured bacterium. Its description in RNAcentral is "partial 16S ribosomal RNA". It matches the Rfam family "Bacterial small subunit ribosomal RNA", at positions 524 to 776 of the family's 1533-position model. The record is from RNAcentral.
UACGUAGGGUGCGAGCGUUACUCGGAAUUACUGGGCGUAAAGCGUGCGCAGGCGGUUUUGUAAGUCAGAUGUGAAAUCCCCGGGCUUAACCUGGGAACUGCGUUUGAAACUACAAGGCUAGAGUGUGGCAGAGGGGGGUGGAAUUCCACGUGUAGCAGUGAAAUGCGUAGAGAUGUGGAGGAACACCGAUGGCGAAGGCAGCCCCCUGGGUUAACACUGACGCUCAGGCACGAAAGCGUGGGGAGCAAACAGG